GCUGAUCAGCUGCACUUGUACAAGGUAGCUGGUUCACGGGACAGCGGGGCGGGGUAUUCAAAUACCCAAGACCUGAUGACUGUCCGAGAGGGUAGUCGGUGUGUUGUUGGGUUGCUUUAUGCAUAAACCAGUUUGUUCUUUUGGGAAUUGAUAGUACGCGUGGAUUUAGAGGAACUAGAGUUCACCGCGUUAUUAUGUUAUUGUGUCUAAACUUGGAUCCACGAACAGCCGGCCCGUUUACACCCGGAGGGGACCCGGGAGUACCCGUCAAACAUCGCAAUUGAUCCACCGGUGGGUCGGACACUGUUCAUGUUUAUAGGUAUUAGAGCACACUACUGCCUGAACGAAGAAGAGAGAACCGCAGGAGCUGGCCCAGGUACUGGGGGGACUGAACGCUUUGGUUGAAGAUGAAUAUACUAGGCCUAUUAUGGUUGGUGGGAUAUGCUGCCAUUUUCAAAGGUUUUGCUUACCCAACUGUAUAUGGAGAGGUUGGAGGGGAGGUGUUAUUUCUAUGCCCAUGUGACAAGGAGCGGCCUGUCAACAUUUUUUACUUUCAAGGUGGCCAUGGCCCUGACAAGGUUUAUAUUAAUGGAUGGCAUGCUAAGAAUCCAACCAAACCCAACCCAGACCUGUUCACCAGUGUGAACAGGACAGAGAGGACCGUAACCAUGUGGAAUCUGACAGCUGGAAAUGAAGGGUUCUAUCAGUUUUUCAUCGACUAUUCCGAUGAAGAAACUAAGGAAUAUAUCAUUUUCCUCAACGUCUCAGAAAAAACUACCACCACCAGAUCAGGCGAACAACAGCCCAUCCACAGCUCUGAAGCUGAACAAAGUCAUCGCCAUCGUUGGUACUUCCUUGCUGCUGGUUGCCUGUUUGUAUUAUUAUUAUUUGUUUGUAUUGUUAUUAUCAUACUACAUGUUGUGGCAACCCAUCGACAGCACAGCGCCCCUGGAGCAAGCCCCUCAGGUGCCUCAGGUGGAGCACCUGAGGAGCCGUAAAAAGGGGCACCUGAGGAGCACACUCAUUCAAGGCUCUCCUCUUGUUUUUGUUUGCGGAGAGACCAGUCUCCGUGGGUGACGUGAUUCCAGCGGGAGGAACAAGACUGUCGAUUCCUCAAAAGACGUUUUUGUUCGGUUUAAUAGUAAUAUACUUUAUGCUUGAAUAAAAGUGCCAUUUUGGCUUAAAGUAAGCUCCGGUUCGUGUUCUGAUUGGAAGGAGGCGGUUCACUCACCAAUCAGGGUUGCCACAAUGUAAGGAAUAAAAAACUGAAAUGAUUUAAAAUAGCAGAAUAGAUCAUUGAUGAAUGCUAAAGAUUAGUUAAUUUUUUGGGAUUUCUGGCUUCGCGUUGCCAAGUUUUCCUUGUAAUGUUUUGCUGAAAUUAUUUAGCUUAGUAUAUUUCCCAUGAUUGACUGAUGCACAGAAGCCGAUAGACAACUAAAUACAUAUUCAUGUUGCCAAAAAAUAAAUAAAAAAAAGCCAUCAGGUAUUUUGUACGAACUACCCAGGUAGAUCAACUCUGUUUUUAUGUAUAUAUAUUCAUUUUCGUUUUACUAAUUCUUUCUUCACACUCUUUUUCGGCAUGACAUAAAAUAAGCUUUCCAGAUGCAUAUUUUCAUUGAUAAUCAAGUAUAGCUUGCCCGCGAAUACCCGGAGCAAUGUAACAGCCCAAAUUGCUUGCAUGUAAAUGGCUAGGGGCAGUGUGAACUCUUCCAAAUAAUUUUUUUUUAACCACUCUGCAGUAGCAUGACUAGUGUCCCUACACAUAAAACGAAGCAUCAACAACUUUGUUAGCGUAGGCCUACCGGGAGUUUAUUAAAAAAUACUGUUUUCCUGUGCCUUACCGGGUAGGUCCAUGUUUCCAGGAAGUCCACACAAGUCGAUUACCGGCUACCGUAAAUAAUAUAGAGGGACCAACAAAUUUCAAACAGCGUGUGUGUGUCAAGGGGGGAGAUUGUACAUUUUUUGGCGACUCUAUUAUAUUCUAAUUUUUCGCCGGAAUUACACUUUAAGUAGUGAUGGGUUGUUCGAUCGCGAACAAAUCGGUUCGAAUGAACGAAUCUUUAACAAGAACGAACCAAACUGAUACUUCUCUCUCGUUCGUGGAUGGUGCGUUUUAUUAUCCAUCCAUCUCGGAAUUCUGAGGACGUUGCGAACCUGCCUGCUCAGUGGAACUGAGAGGAGAUCGA
This is a long non-coding RNA of Gadus chalcogrammus (walleye pollock), 2186 nucleotides long. RefSeq lists it as uncharacterized. The record is from RefSeq and is a predicted model, not a curated record. The transcript has 5 exons. Lineage: Eukaryota; Metazoa; Chordata; Actinopteri; Gadiformes; Gadidae.